AUGGUUUCCAUGGCGGCGGCCAGGAUCGCCGUCCUCCUGGCCGUGGCAGCGCUCUUCACCGCGGCGGGGGCAGCGGAUCCCCAACGCGCAAAGGGAGCACAUUGCUGGCGGUGCUACUCUUCCUGCAUGCACAAGUGCGACGGCCACCGUGAUGCCGCCGCCCGCUCUGCCAGCCGUACUCAGCCCGCAGUCCACACAACCGUCGAUGAUGGUGCAGCAGCCUCCUCCAUCCCCGUCAACUCUACCAAUGGCACUGCAGCAGUCGUACACUCCACCGAUGGCACUCUGAUGCCAACGACGACGAUAACAAGGACUACGACAAAGAUGACGACAAGGACGACGGCGAUGAUAAGGACGACAAUAAGGACGACAAGGACGACGACGAUGAUAAGGACGACAAGGACGAUGAUGAUAAGGAUGAUGAUGACGACGACGAUGAUGAUGAUGAUGAUGAUGAUGACGACGACGACGACGACGAUGACAACGGCGGCAGCGACUGGGCGAAGUACUUCAAGUGCAAGAAGAAGUGCAUCGUGGACUGCUACAGGAGCCUCCGCCACCGCCACCGCCACCACCACCACCAUCCAAGCCCGGGUCCAAAGCCCCCGAGUCCGAAGCCACCUAAGCCAAAGCCAACACCACCAAAGCCCACACCUCCAAAGCCCGCUCCACCUAAGCCCAUGCCGCCGCCAUCGCCCACGCCACCGAAGCCAACCCCGCCCAUGCCACCACCAUCGCCCAUGCCACCGACGCCAACCCCGCCCAUGCCACCGACGCCAACCCCGCCCAUGCCGCCACCAUCGCCCAUGCCACCGACGACAACCCCGCCCAAGCUGCCGAGCCCUCCUAAUACACCGAAGCAAAAGCCAAAGCCGAAGGCGCCCGUGUCCGCUCAAGACUAAGCCUAAGCCAAAACCGCCAUGCCCACCAUCAGCCAUUGUAUCUUCGUCGACGAACACCAGCAGCAACUGA
RNAcentral lists this ribosomal RNA (972 nucleotides) under Triticum aestivum (bread wheat). RNAcentral's name for it is "partial small subunit ribosomal RNA". The record is from RNAcentral. Lineage: Eukaryota; Viridiplantae; Streptophyta; Magnoliopsida; Poales; Poaceae.